AAUGACCCGCGAACAUGUUAUU
Molecule: ribosomal RNA, 22 nt
Filed under: Elatostema radicans
Lineage: Eukaryota; Viridiplantae; Streptophyta; Magnoliopsida; Rosales; Urticaceae
Description: partial 18S ribosomal RNA
Source: RNAcentral